AUUGAACGCUGGCGGCAUGCUUUACACAUGCAAGUCGAACGGCAGCACGGGGGCAACCCUGGUGGCGGGUGGCGAACGGGUGAGUAACACAUCGGAACGUGUCCAGUUGUGGGGGAUAACCCAUCGAAAGGUGGGCUAAUACCGCAUGAGCUGGCAACAGGAAAGCGGGGACCCGCAAGGGCCUUGUGCGAUUGGAGCGGCCGAUGUCCGAUUAGCUAGUUGGUGGGGUAAAGGCCACCAAGGCUUCGAUCGGUAGCUGGUCUGAGAGGAUGAUCAGCCACACUGGGACUGAGACACGGCCCAGACUCCUACGGGAGGCAGCAGUGGGGAAUUUUGGACAAUGGGGGCAACCCUGAUCCAGCCAUGCCGCGUGAGUGAAGAAGGCC
RNAcentral lists this ribosomal RNA (386 nucleotides) under uncultured bacterium. Its description in RNAcentral is "bacterial SSU rRNA". It matches the Rfam family "Bacterial small subunit ribosomal RNA", at positions 29 to 416 of the family's 1533-position model. The record is from RNAcentral.